RNAcentral lists this ribosomal RNA (251 nucleotides) under uncultured bacterium. Its description in RNAcentral is "partial 16S ribosomal RNA". It matches the Rfam family "Bacterial small subunit ribosomal RNA", at positions 525 to 776 of the family's 1533-position model. The record is from RNAcentral.
ACGUAGGGUGCAAGCGUUGUCCGGAUUUAUUGGGUUUAAAGGGUGCGUAGGCGGCCUGAUCAGUCAGUGGUUAAAGAUUGCGGCUUAACCGUAACCCGCCAUUGAUACUGUCAGGCUUGAGUGCAACAGAGGAAACUGGAAUGUGUGGUGUAGCGGUGAAAUGCAUAGAUAUCACACAGAACACCGAUUGCGAAGGCAGGUUUCUAUGUUGUUACUGACGCUGAGGCACGAAAGCGUGGGGAGCGAACAGG